Camellia sinensis is the source of this 731-nucleotide long non-coding RNA. RefSeq lists it as uncharacterized. Lineage: Eukaryota; Viridiplantae; Streptophyta; Magnoliopsida; Ericales; Theaceae. The record is from RefSeq and is a predicted model, not a curated record.
UACUCCUGCAUGGUGUGAAAAAAAAAUAAAAAAAAUCUAAGAUUAACCCUAACCUCUCACCUUUCACCCAUCACCUUCUCAAACCUACUCUCUCUACCUUAUCUUCUUCCUAUCUUCAUCAAACACCACCAUUACCAAUCAUCUUCCUCAACCCUCACUCCACCCCACCACACCACCGCCGCACCUCCUUUUGGCCACCUCUAACAACAAUUUUUCGGCAGACCUCCAUUCUUCUUUUUUGACCUUUUUCUUCUUACUUUUUCAAGGUGUGAAGCAUCAUUCUUGCACGUACGACUUCUCGUCUGAAGUUCAAAGCAUCCUGAAAAAUCCGCACAUGCAAAGGGUUGUUCCCAAACGUGCGGUGACAUUUCUCGCACAUGCAGCCCGACCUUGUUUUGUGUAUGUGACGUUCUAAACCUAUUCUGGAGGCCUGCAAGGUAUAAAGAGGAAAAAAGAAAACUAAAAGAAGCCUCUAAUAUUUUUCCAAAGAAAAAGAGAGGAUAAGGUUUGGAGAGAAAAAGCUUGGAGCUUCAAGUAUGUCUUCCAUAGUGGCUUCUCCCUCUACCUCUUCCCGUUCAUCCAUGAGUGGCUAGUCUUCCAUUUUCUAGGGUUUUGAUGAAACCCUAGCCAUGUAAAGAGAUUUUUCUUAGGCUUUGAUUGCGUAACAAUUUGAAUAAAUGUAUAGAUGUUUUAGAAGUUUGCAAUUAUAUUUCUUUUCAUCUCUUCUAGUA